This 806-nucleotide ribosomal RNA is filed under the name uncultured bacterium. Its description in RNAcentral is "bacterial SSU rRNA". It matches the Rfam family "Bacterial small subunit ribosomal RNA", at positions 23 to 796 of the family's 1533-position model. The record is from RNAcentral.
CUCAGGACGAACGCUGGCGGCGUGCCUAAUACAUGCAAGUCGAGCGAGCGGAACUAACAGAUUUACUUCGGUAAUGACGUUAGGAAAGCGAGCGGCGGAUGGGUGAGUAACACGUGGGGAACCUGCCCCAUAGUCUGGGAUACCACUUGGAAACAGGUGCUAAUACCGGAUAAGAAAGCAGAUCGCAUGAUCAGCUUUUAAAAGGCGGCGUAAGCUGUCGCUAUGGGAUGGCCCCGCGGUGCAUUAGCUAGUUGGUAAGGUAAAGGCUUACCAAGGCGAUGAUGCAUAGCCGAGUUGAGAGACUGAUCGGCCACAUUGGGACUGAGACACGGCCCAAACUCCUACGGGAGGCAGCAGUAGGGAAUCUUCCACAAUGGACGCAAGUCUGAUGGAGCAACGCCGCGUGAGUGAAGAAGGUUUUCGGAUCGUAAAGCUCUGUUGUUGGUGAAGAAGGAUAGAGGUAGUAACUGGCCUUUAUUUGACGGUAAUCAACCAGAAAGUCACGGCUAACUACGUGCCAGCAGCCGCGGUAAUACGUAGGUGGCAAGCGUUGUCCGGAUUUAUUGGGCGUAAAGCGAGCGCAGGCGGAAGAAUAAGUCUGAUGUGAAAGCCCUCGGCUUAACCGAGGAACUGCAUCGGAAACUGUUUUUCUUGAGUGCAGAAGAGGAGAGUGGAACUCCAUGUGUAGCGGUGGAAUGCGUAGAUAUAUGGAAGAACACCAGUGGCGAAGGCGGCUCUCUGGUCUGCAACUGACGCCGAGGCUCGAAAGCAUGGGUAACGAACAGGAUUAGAUACCCUGGUAGUCC